This 559-nucleotide ribosomal RNA is filed under the name uncultured Orbiliaceae. Its description in RNAcentral is "LSU rRNA". It matches the Rfam family "Eukaryotic large subunit ribosomal RNA", at positions 64 to 637 of the family's 3401-position model. Lineage: Eukaryota; Fungi; Ascomycota; Orbiliomycetes; Orbiliales. The record is from RNAcentral.
ACCAACAGGGAUUGCCUUAGUAACGGCGAGUGAAGCGGCAAUAGCUCAAAUUUGAAAUCUGGAGUCUUCGACUUCCGAGUUGUAAUUUGAAGAGGAUGUUUCGGUUGCGGCUUGGGCCUAAGUUCCUUGGAACAGGACGUCAUGGAGGGUGAGAAUCCCGUAUAUGGCUGCCGGCUUGCUUCUAUGUGAAACUCCUUCGAAGAGUCGAGUUGUUUGGGAAUGCAGCUCAAAAUGGGUGGUAAAUUUCAUCUAAAGCUAAAUAUUGGCGAGAGACCGAUAGCGCACAAGUAGAGUGAUCGAAAGAUGAAAAGCACUUUGAAAAGAGAGUUAAACAGUACGUGAAAUUGUUGAAAGGGAAGCGCUUGCAAUCAGACUCACUUUCAGUUGAUCAACGUUCCUUCCGGUUCGUGCACUCUGCUGUUUGUGGGCCAGCAUCAGUUAGAGCGGUGGGACAAAGGUUGCGGGAAUGUGGCUCCCUUCGGGGAGUGUUAUAGCCCGCUUCGUAAUGCCACCUGCCCUGACUGAGGUCCGCGAUUCGUCUAGGAUGCUGGCUUAAUGG